Molecule: ribosomal RNA, 157 nt
Filed under: Syphacia sp. 1 DG-2020
Lineage: Eukaryota; Metazoa; Nematoda; Chromadorea; Rhabditida; Oxyuridae
Description: 5.8S ribosomal RNA
Rfam family: 5.8S ribosomal RNA
About the family: 5.8S ribosomal RNA (5.8S rRNA) is a component of the large subunit of the eukaryotic ribosome.
Source: RNAcentral
ACUCCUAGCGGUGGAUCACUAGGCUCGAAGAUCGAUGAAGAACGCAGUUAGCUGCGAUAAUUAGUGUGAAUUGCGGACACAUUGAACACAAAAAAUUCGAACGCACAUUGCGCCAUCGGGUUCUCUCCCGUUGGUACGUCUGGUUGAGGGUUAAAAU